Molecule: transfer RNA, 69 nt
Filed under: Symsagittifera roscoffensis
Lineage: Eukaryota; Metazoa; Xenacoelomorpha; Acoela; Convolutidae
Description: tRNA-Val
Source: RNAcentral
UUAAAAUUUAAUUUAUAAAAAUAAAAUACUUUUAUUACAAAAAAGAAAACUUAAAAAAAGAAUUUUGAU